This 388-nucleotide unclassified non-coding RNA is filed under the name fungal sp. RNAcentral describes it as "partial internal transcribed spacer region". The stretch from base 1 to 46 matches the Rfam family "Eukaryotic small subunit ribosomal RNA", at positions 1786 to 1831 of the family's 1831-position model. Lineage: Eukaryota; Fungi. The record is from RNAcentral.
AAGUCGUAACAAGGUCUCCGUAGGUGAACCUGCGGAGGGAUCAUCUAUAAAAAAAAUAUGAUGAUGAUGAUGAUGAUGAUGUUUAUUCAUCAUCAUCAUUAUUAUUCAUAUAUUAUCCAUUAUAGGAUGUUUUGGUGUUGUUAUUAUAUAAUAUUCUUAUAAUGUUGCAGGAUGGAAUUGUGUGUAUGUGUGUAUGUGUGUGUGUGUCGGUGUUUGUUGUGUGUGUUGUAUGUGUGUUUGUGUUUUAAGGAGUAUUGUUACUCUUUUUAACCUUCCCCACAUACACUCUACUCUUAUUACUACCCAUCACUACACCAAUAAAAAACCAACCAGGAUCAUAAAUUCCAAACAAAGUUUAUAACUUUUGGCAACGGAUCUCUUGGUUCUC